CAAACGGGUGAGUAAUAUAUAGGAAUCUACCUCGUGGUGAGGAAUAAGCGUUGGAAACGGUGUAUAAUACCACAUAAUACCGGUUUCGGGAAAGGAGAAAUCUGCCAUGAGAUGAGCCUAUAUCAGAUUAGCUAGUUGGUGGGGUAAAGGCCUACCAAGGCGAAGAUCUGUAGCUGAUCUGAGAGGGUGAUCAGCCACAUUGGGACUGCGACACGGCCCAAACUCC
Molecule: ribosomal RNA, 226 nt
Filed under: uncultured bacterium
Lineage: Bacteria
Description: partial 16S ribosomal RNA
Rfam family: Bacterial small subunit ribosomal RNA
Source: RNAcentral